GACGAACGCUGGCGGCGUGCUUAACACAUGCAAGUCGAGCGGUAAGGCCCUUUCGGGGGUACACGAGCGGCGAACGGGUGAGUAACACGUGGGUGACCUGCCCUCAGCUCUGGGAUAAGCCUGGGAAACCGGGUCUAAUACCGGAUAUGACUCCAUGACGCAUGUUGUGGGGUGGAAAGCCUUGUGCGGCUGAGGAUGGGCCCGCGGCCUAUCAGCUUGUUGGUGGGGUGAUGGCCUACCAAGGCGACGACGGGUAGCCGGCCUGAGAGGGCGACCGGCCACACUGGGACUGAGACACGGCCCAGACUCCUACGGGAGGCAGCAGUGGGGAAUCUUGCGCAAUGGGCGAAAGCCUGACGCAGCGACGCCGCGUGGGGAUGACGGCC
Molecule: ribosomal RNA, 386 nt
Filed under: uncultured bacterium
Lineage: Bacteria
Description: bacterial SSU rRNA
Rfam family: Bacterial small subunit ribosomal RNA
Source: RNAcentral